UAAAGUUCAGUGAGGUUGAGCCUCCAAGGUAGCGCAUUUUCUCUAUCAAUUUCUUUAUGCAAGCAGAGACCUUCAUUCAUUGCUACAUUGAUUCCUCAAGUCUCAUACAAUAUUCAUAAAUAAGAUUUAGAUUACAGUAGGAGAGUCCAAUAUCUCGUUGAGCUUAUGAGUUGUAAACUGAAUUAUGGUUUUGUAUGGUUCAGUUUUUCGGUUUAACUUUGGACACGUAAUUAGUUUUACCCCCCGGAAAACCAAGAAAAUUUAAAAUUUAUAUAUGGGAAGUGGAAGUGGAACUGAACUGUUUGUGUUUAUUUGAUGAAGUUGCCAGUUUAUAAUAUUUUGUCUUUCUCGUGGACAACCUUUUUUUUUCAGUUUCAUUUAAAAACUGAGAUUAGGUGUUUUUCUAAAGCUUUAAUUGGAUUGGAUUUUGAGGGAUCUUGCUCCUUUCCACUCAUGUGCACGACCCAUUUUGUAAUAGCCCAUUUUCAGUGAAAUCAGAACAGUGAUUUCGAGACCACAAAUCUGAGCUAGAAAGAAAAUUUAUUUUAAUAUUAUUGCAUGGUCCACAUUAUGAUAGAAAUGUUAUAUGAAAAUUCUAAUAAGAAAAUUUUACCGAUUAUGUGUUUAAUUAGGAAAAGGACCAAAUUGCAUAAAAUGCAAAUGUUGGAUUCUAGUAGCUAGAAGGAUCAAAUAGUUAUGGUAUUUAAAACUUGAGGUCUUUAUAUGGUAAUUAGACCAUUAAAGAAAAGUUAGUAGAUAUUUUUGAUGAUUCAUCCAUAGAAAUUUAGAAAAGGGAAAGGAUUAAAUUGGAAAUGAGAAAAAUUAAUGGAUGAUUAAUAAUUAAUAAGAAAUAAAAAUCAUUUUAUAUUAUCUUCUUCCCCCAAACAUUCCAUGAAAACCCUAGGAAAGAGAAAACAAGAUUUCUUGGCUUAAUUGGGUAAGUACUCAAGCCCAUUUUUUAGUCAUUUUUAUAUUUUUAAAACCGGAAUAGUCUAAUCUAUCUAUUUGGGGGAUUGAUUUGAAAAGUUAUCAAAGUAUAAAAAUUUUUCCAUGAAUGAAUAUGUUAAUAAUUUGAAUUUUUUACAAAGUGAAUUUUGAUGAAAACAUGAUUUAGGGACUAAAUUGAAAAGUUAUAAAAGUUAUAGAAAAAUUUUGAAUUUUGUGAAAUACUUGUGCUGUUAAGGUUAUACUAAAAUUUUGGUUAGGCUUGGAAUAAGGAUUAAAUUGCAUGAAGUUCAUUUUCCGAGCCUAGAGAUGAAAUUGAAAUUUAUGAAAAGUUUAGGGCCAAAAUGGUAAUUUUACCUAGAGUGUAAAUUGAAUAUAAUUAAAUAUGAAUUGUACUAAAUUGAUGAUUAAAUUCAUUUAUAUAGAUCCGGAUAACUCAAAUUCGAAGCUAGAUUGAGGAAAAGAAAAAGUUUCAGAUUAGUAUAUUUUUUUAUACGAACUAUUAUCGAGGUAAGUUCGUGUAACUUAAUUAUACAUGUUAAUAUGGUUCAAUUGAAUAUUGUAUUUGAUUUGAAUGUGGUAUAUGUUUAUGUGAUUUAUAUGAAUGUUAUAAUUACAUGAAAUGAUCACAUGAUUGGAAAUGUGUUUAAAAUGUUAAGUUCUGUUGGAAUAAUGAAAAUUGAUGGAUACGUAUGGUUUCCUGUAUGUGAAUGUGAUUCUGUAUAUGUUGCAGACAGGAUUUAGCUUGGACGAGUAAUCCUGAUAUAGCUCUCUCGAGCAUCCUAAUGUAUAGUUCCUGCGAGCAUCUUGAUCGAUAGUGAUUUAGCAUGUGUUGCGCACUAUCGCAGCUCUUUGUGAGCGUUCUGAUAUAAGCUCUUAUGAGUUUCCUGACAUGGCUCACUUGAACUCCCUGUUACCUUAUCCGGUGCUCCUUGAUAUUAACUCUUCGGAGUUAUCUAUUCAAAGCUCUAUGAGCUCUCUGAAUAAAACUCUUAUGAGUUUCCUGUGUAGCCCAGAUAAGUGUCCUUUUACAUGGCUCAACUGAGCAUCCUGAUAUGUGGUUCAAGAGUGUGCUUCUUGAAUAAUUUCCUUAUUGGGUACCCCUAAUUAUAAAUUGAUGAAUUACAGAUUUGUACACCUUGAGUGUACUAUUCGAGUAUCCAUCGAUAUUUCAAUAAUUCAACGGAUAAAAUUCUCGACUUGAGAAAAAAAUGAUGAGUUAAAUAGAAAUAUGCCUUGAAUGCUUUUGAAUUAUUUGAUGAAGGGUUAUAUGAUGAGCUCAUCUAUGCUUAUUUGAUAUACAAAUGUAUUAUAUGACUAACUUGCUUGAUUGAGUAUAUGUGUUUAGGUAAACUUGUCAAAUUGAUGAAAAAUAUGUUAAUUGUAUGCUUAACAUUAAUAAAUGAAAUUGGUAAGUUUUAAUUCCUGUUAUACGAACAUACUAAGCAUUAAAUGCUAACUAGGUUUUUUUUUUCUCUGUUUUAUAGUGCUCGGAAGCUCACGAAGGUAGAAGAUCGGUUAGAGCAUCAUCACACUAUCCACUAGCUUGUUUUGGUAUAAAUAGUAAACUUAUUUUGGCAUAAUGGCAUGUAUAGGUAACUUGGCCAUUGUUGACAUAUAAAUGUGGUUUGUAAACUAGCAAUUGGAAUGACUACUAAUGAUUUGUUUUGGUAUAUAUUAUGACAAAUACCUAUAUUUUAAGUAUAUUGAGUAUGGUUGAUCAAGUUAUGCUUAAUAUAUAUAGUUAAACAAGG
Molecule: long non-coding RNA, 2699 nt
Filed under: Gossypium barbadense (sea-island cotton)
Lineage: Eukaryota; Viridiplantae; Streptophyta; Magnoliopsida; Malvales; Malvaceae
Description: long non-coding RNA (GBAR_LNC010199)
Source: RNAcentral